GGUUCUCUUAAGAUCUUUGACC
RNAcentral lists this non-coding RNA (22 nucleotides) under Arabidopsis thaliana (thale cress). The record is from RNAcentral. Lineage: Eukaryota; Viridiplantae; Streptophyta; Magnoliopsida; Brassicales; Brassicaceae.